GCGGUGUAAAAUGAGCGUGCGUCCUAUUAGCUAGUUGGAGAGGUAAUGGCUCACCAAGGCUACGAUGGGUAGGGGUUCUUAGUGGAAGGUCCCCCACACUGGCACUGAGAUACGGGCCAGACUCCUACGGGAGGCAGCAGUAGGGAAUAUUGGUCAAUGGGCGCAAGCCUGAACCAGCCAUGCCGCGUGCAGGGUGAAGGCUCUCUGAGUUGUAAACUGCUUUUGUACAGGAGCAAAAAAGCCCCUGCGGGGACUCUUGAGAGUACUGUAAGAAUAAGCACCGACUAAUUCCGUGCCAGCAGCCGCGGUAAUACGGAAGGUGCAAGCGUUAUCCGGUUUUAUUGGGUUUAAAGGGUGCGUAGGCGGCUUAUUAAGUCAGUUGUGAAAUCCUAGUGCUUAACGCUAGAACUGCGAUUGAUACUAUUAGGCUUGAGUUAAGAAGAGGU
Molecule: ribosomal RNA, 446 nt
Filed under: Cardinium endosymbiont of Formica cinerea
Lineage: Bacteria; Pseudomonadati; Bacteroidota; Cytophagia; Cytophagales; Amoebophilaceae
Description: bacterial SSU rRNA
Rfam family: Bacterial small subunit ribosomal RNA
Source: RNAcentral